AUUCUGGUGCACGGGCUUUACGCAUGUCAGUGAAGGUUCGCCUGAGACUGCGUUUUUGCUAGUUGAAAACUAUACUAUGACCGCUUCUGUUGGGCUUCGGCCUGGCAGAGAAUUUUUGGCACAUAUUUUCUCGUGAGAGACAUGU
This 145-nucleotide small nuclear RNA is filed under the name Pseudomassariella vexata. Its description in RNAcentral is "U4 spliceosomal RNA". It matches the Rfam family "U4 spliceosomal RNA". Rfam says of the family: U4 small nuclear RNA (U4 snRNA) is a component of the major U2-dependent spliceosome. The structure of U4 snRNA from yeast and human has been reported. The record is from Rfam by way of RNAcentral. Lineage: Eukaryota; Fungi; Ascomycota; Sordariomycetes; Amphisphaeriales; Pseudomassariaceae.